RNAcentral lists this ribosomal RNA (497 nucleotides) under uncultured bacterium. RNAcentral describes it as "partial 16S ribosomal RNA". It matches the Rfam family "Bacterial small subunit ribosomal RNA", at positions 28 to 507 of the family's 1533-position model. The record is from RNAcentral.
GAUGAACGCUGGCGGCGUGCCUAAUACAUGCCAGUCGAGCGAACAGAUGAGGAGCUUGCUCCUCUGACGUUAGCGGCGGACGGGUGAGUAACACGUGGAUAACCUACCUAUAAGACUGGGAUAACUUCGGGAAACCGGAGCUAAUACCGGAUAAUAUAUUGAACCGCAUGGUUCAAUAGUGAAAGACGGUUUUGCUGUCACUUAUAGAUGGAUCCGCGCCGCAUUAGCUAGUUGGUAAGGUAACGGCUUACCAAGGCAACGAUGCGUAGCCGACCUGAGAGGGUGAGCGGCCACACUGGAACUGAGACACGGUCCAGACUCCUACGGGAGGCAGCAGUAGGGAAUCUUCCGCAAUGGGCGAAAGCCUGACGGAGCAACGCCGCGUGAGUGAUGAAGGUCUUCGGAUCGUAAAACUCUGUUAUUAGGGAAGAACAAAUGUGUAAGUAACUAUGCACGUCUUGACGGUACCUAAUCAGAAAGCCACGGCUAACUACGUG